AGAGUUUGAUCCUGGCUCANNNNNNACGCUGGCGGCGUGCUUAACACAUGCAAGUCGAACGGGNAGAAAAGAAAGAGCUUGCUCUUUUUUGGAAUCUAGUGGCAAACGGGUGAGUAACACGUAAACAACCUGCCUUCAGGAUGGGGACAACAGACGGAAACGACUGCUAAUACCGAAUACCUUCCAAUUUCCGCAUGGAGAUAGGAAGAAAGGGUGGCCUCUACUUGUAAGCUAUCGCCUGAAGAGGGGUUUGCGUCUGAUUNGCUGGUUGGUGAGGUAACGGCCCACCAAGGCGACGAUCAGUAUCCGGUCUGAGAGGAUGAUCNGCCACACUGGAANUGAGACACGGUCCAGACUCCUACGGGAGGCACCAGUGGGGAAUCUNCCGCAAUGGACUAAAGUCUGACNGAGCANGCNCNUGNACGAUGAAGUCUUCGGAUUGUAAAUUCUGUUGACCCGGGACNAAAG
RNAcentral lists this ribosomal RNA (468 nucleotides) under uncultured bacterium. RNAcentral's name for it is "partial 16S ribosomal RNA". It matches the Rfam family "Bacterial small subunit ribosomal RNA", at positions 8 to 451 of the family's 1533-position model. The record is from RNAcentral.